ACGUGCCCUCAGACUCCUCGCAGCCAGCGAUGGAGGCGAGACCCCCUAGUAACAGAGGCGGUGGCUACUGCUGCGGCCACUGGGUUUCGGCCUCUUCCCAGCAGCGGCUCUAAGAAGCGCAGCGGAACUCGACCGGAUCCAACCCAGUUAGUUACUUCCUGUCUAGAGUUGUAGCUUCCACCUGCACCUUCUAGCCACCAUGGCAACCUCAUCUGAAGAAGUUUUGCUGAUUGUAAAGAAAGUGCGUCAAAAGAAGCAGGAUGGAGCUCUGUACCUCAUGGCAGAAAGAAUUGCUUGGGCACCUGAAGGCAAAGAUAGAUUUACAAUCAGCCAUAUGUAUGCAGAUAUUAAAUGCCAGAAAAUUAGUCCAGAAGGAAAAGCUAAAAUUCAGCUUCAGCUGGUCCUACAUGCAGGGGACACAACUAACUUCCAUUUUUCCAAUGAAAGCACAGCAGUGAAAGAGCGAGAUGCAGUAAAAGACCUUCUUCAGCAGCUGCUGCCCAAAUUCAAGAGGAAAGCAAAUAAAGAACUGGAAGAGAAGAACAGAAUGCUGCAAGAAGAUCCUGUUUUGUUUCAGCUUUAUAAAGACCUUGUUGUGAGUCAAGUGAUCAGUGCUGAGGAAUUCUGGGCCAAUCGUUUAAAUGUGAAUGCAACAGAUAGUUCUUCCACAUCCAAUCAUAAGCAGGAUGUUGGCAUUUCUGCUGCAUUUCUGGCUGAUGUCCGGCCCCAAACUGAUGGCUGUAACGGUCUGAGAUAUAAUUUAACCUCUGAUAUCAUUGAGUCCAUAUUUAGGACCUAUCCAGCAGUAAAAAUGAAAUAUGCAGAAAAUGUUCCCCACAACAUGACAGAGAAGGAAUUCUGGACACGUUUUUUCCAGUCCCAUUAUUUUCACAGGGAUCGGCUGAAUACAGGGUCAAAGGAUCUCUUUGCAGAAUGUGCCAAAAUAGAUGAAAAAGGCCUAAAAACAAUGGUUUCAUUAGGAGUGAAAAACCCACUACUAGAUUUAACAGCUUUGGAAGAUAAACCAUUAGAUGAGGGCUAUGGCAUUUCCUCUGUGCCAUCUGCUUCCAAUUCUAAAUCCAUAAAAGAGAAUAGUAAUGCUGCCAUCAUCAAGAGAUUUAACCAUCACAGUGCCAUGGUCCUGGCAGCUGGACUCAGAAAACAAGAAGCACAAAAUGAACAAAAUAGUGAGCCCAGCAACAUGGAUGGACAUUCCGGAGAUGCAGACUGCUUUCAGCCAGCAGUCAAAAGGGCGAAAUUACAAGAGUCCAUUGAAUAUGAAGACUUGGGGAAAAAUAAUUCUGUAAAAACGAUUGCACUAAACCUCAAGAAGUCAGAUAGGUAUUAUCAUGGUCCAACUCCAAUCCAGUCACUACAGUAUGCAACAAGUCAGGACAUUAUUAAUUCUUUUCAAAGUAUUAGACAAGAAAUGGAAGCUUAUACACCCAAGUUAACUCAGGUUCUCUCAAGUAGUGCUGCCAGUAGUACCAUCACAGCACUGUCACCUGGAGGGGCACUUAUGCAGGGAGGAACACAGCAAGCCAUAAACCAGAUGGUGCCAAAUGAUAUUCAAUCUGAAUUGAAACACUUAUAUGUAGCUGUUGGAGAACUUCUACGACAUUUCUGGUCCUGCUUUCCUGUUAAUACGCCAUUCCUAGAAGAAAAGGUAGUGAAAAUGAAAAGUAAUUUGGAACGAUUCCAAGUUACGAAGCUCUGUCCAUUCCAAGAAAAGAUUCGGAGACAGUAUUUAAGCACAAAUGUAAGGCAGCAAUCUGAUUUUUGCCUGAUCUUCUUUCUCUUUGUAGUAAAAUGAUGAAAUUGA
RNAcentral lists this small RNA (1822 nucleotides) under Pan troglodytes (chimpanzee). Its description in RNAcentral is "retained intron". Lineage: Eukaryota; Metazoa; Chordata; Mammalia; Primates; Hominidae. The record is from RNAcentral.